UGGGGAAUAUUGCACAAUGGGCGCAAGCCUGAUGCAGCCAUGCCGCGUGUAUGAAGAAGGCCUUCGGGUUGUAAAGUACUUUCAGUCGGGAGGAAGGUGGUAAGGUUAAUGACCUUAUCAAUUGACGUUACCGACAGAAGAAGCACCGGCUAACUCCGUGCCAGCAGCCGCGGUAAUACGGAGGGUGCAAGCGUUAAUCGGAAUUACUGGGCGUAAAGCGCACGCAGGCGGUUGAUUGAGUCAGAUGUGAAAUCCCCGGGCUUAACCCGGGAAUUGCAUCUGAUACUGGUCAGCUAGAGUCUUGUAGAGGGGGGUAGAAUUCCAUGUGUAGCGGUGAAAUGCGUAGAGAUGUGGAGGAAUACCGGUGGCGAAGGCGGCCCCCUGGACAAAGACUGACGCUCAGGUGCGAAAGCGUGGGGAGCAAACAGG
RNAcentral lists this ribosomal RNA (429 nucleotides) under Chloroflexota bacterium. RNAcentral describes it as "Chloroflexi bacterium partial 16S ribosomal RNA". It matches the Rfam family "Bacterial small subunit ribosomal RNA", at positions 355 to 776 of the family's 1533-position model. Lineage: Bacteria; Bacillati; Chloroflexota. The record is from RNAcentral.